ACSACUGNARAGGGUUWNAUUCACUCCCGCNKGKCCAGACGCUCCUUGCGUCCUUAGCUCGCAUUUUGGCCAACCGCGUGCGGGAACACMCGGGAGAUUUUUUUCCGUCCCAUGGCCUCUGGAGGAUGGGGGGACAACKAUUUGUGMNCCCARGCAAACGUGCCCUCGGCCUGAAGGCUUGGGGCCCAACUUGCGUUCAAAGACACAAUGGUUCWCGGGAUUCUGCAAUUCGCACAAAGUAUCGCAUUUCGCUACCUUCUUCAUCGAUGCGAGAGCCCAGAUAUCCGUUGCCAASAGUCGUUUUAGACUUUAUUUUUGUGAAUUASCGACCCCNUAAAACCCGUCUCCGGGUUGGCGAACKUGGCUGUUUACCUGYAUGUU
Molecule: unclassified non-coding RNA, 381 nt
Filed under: Pseudocamelina glaucophylla
Lineage: Eukaryota; Viridiplantae; Streptophyta; Magnoliopsida; Brassicales; Brassicaceae
Description: sequence contains ITS1, 5.8S rRNA gene and ITS2
Source: RNAcentral